GAUGAACGCUGGCGGCGUGCCUAAUACAUGCAAGUCGAGCGAACGGACGAGAAGCUUGCUUCUCUGAUGUUAGCGGCGGACGGGUGAGUAACACGUGGAUAACCUACCUAUAAGACUGGGAUAACUUCGGGAAACCGGAGCUAAUCCCGGAUAAUAUUUUGAACCGCAUGGUUCAAAAGUGAAAGACGGUCUUGCUGUCACUUAUAGAUGGAUCCGCGCUGCAUUAGCUAGUUGGUAAGGUAACGGCUUACCAAGGCAACGAUGCAUAGCCGACCUGAGAGGGUGAUCGGCCACACUGGAACUGAGACACGGUCCAGACUCCUACGGGAGGCAGCAGUAGGGAAUCUUCCGCAAUGGGCGAAAGCCUGACGGAGCAACGCCGCGUGAGUGAUGAAGGUCUUCGGAUCGUAAAACUCUGUUAUUAGGGAAGAACAUAUGUGUAAGUAACUGUGCACAUCUUGACGGUACCUAAUCAGAAAGCCACGGCUAACUACGUG
This 497-nucleotide ribosomal RNA is filed under the name uncultured bacterium. Its description in RNAcentral is "partial 16S ribosomal RNA". It matches the Rfam family "Bacterial small subunit ribosomal RNA", at positions 28 to 507 of the family's 1533-position model. The record is from RNAcentral.